GAUGAACGCUGGCGGCGUGCUUAACACAUGCAAGUCGAACGGAAAGGCCCAAGCUUGCUUGGGUACUCGAGUGGCGAACGGGUGGGUAACACGUGGGUGAUCUGCCCUGCACUUCGGGAUAAGCCUGGGAAACUGGGUCUAAUACCGGAUAGGACGAUGGUUUGGAUGCCAUUGUGGAAAGUUUUUUCGGUGUGGGAUGAGCUCGCGGCCUAUCAGCUUGUUGGUGGGGUAAUGGCCUACCAAGGCGUCGACGGGUAGCCGGCCUGAGAGGGUGUACGGCCACAUUGGGCCUGAGAUACGGCCCAGACUCCUACGGGAGGCAGCAGUGGGGAAUAUUGCACAAUGGGCGCAAGCCUGAUGCAGCGACGCCGCGUGGGGGAUGACGGCCUUCGGGUUGUAAACUCCUUUCGCUAGGGACGAAGCGUUUUUGUGACGGUACCUGGAGAAGAAGCACCGGCUAACUACGUG
RNAcentral lists this ribosomal RNA (468 nucleotides) under uncultured bacterium. RNAcentral's name for it is "partial 16S ribosomal RNA". It matches the Rfam family "Bacterial small subunit ribosomal RNA", at positions 28 to 507 of the family's 1533-position model. The record is from RNAcentral.